Molecule: long non-coding RNA, 699 nt
Organism: Physella acuta
Lineage: Eukaryota; Metazoa; Mollusca; Gastropoda; Physidae
Source: RefSeq, a predicted model, not a curated record
GUUGGGCUCGCUGAGAGGUUAGGUAUUGCUUAUCACAACCCGCUGAAUAGACUACUUGAUGUGAUUCCUUUCAACGCUGUAAUAUCCCCGUUCACCUUGCACCGCAUCGGAUCUAUCCUGAGAUGGGAGCCUUGUUGAAAAUGUUGAUUGCCACAGUGCUUAUUUUGUCACUCUCGGUGGAAUUUGGAUUCGGAUACAUUAACAUUGGCUGGCAAUAUAAAAUGUUUUAUAAAGGAUUCCUUGAAAGGGAAUAUCAACGAAAAACGGAUGUUAGAAAGCCGGAUGUGAAACUACCGCCAACAACUACAAAAAAGAAGCCGGCCAAUAAACUAACAACUACUCAAAGGCGCGAUACAUACUCAAGGGUUGAGGCUAACAAGUGCACCAAUUUUGGCAGUCAGUCUUUUUGUUUAGCUAAUACUCUAGACACCGAAGCCACUAUCUUCAGUUGGUUAAAAAGUGAAUUCAGCCCCGGAAAAUGAAGGAUCUCAGCACCAUUUCAUGUUGGUUGGAUUUGGGGCUAGAGCUGUAUUACGGUGAGUUCAGAAGUCAACAGGACGUUUCACGGGGGAAAACAUAGUUUGGGGAGGGGGGAGUGAAUUGAUAGUUGUUUAAAUGCAAUUUUAUUUUCAAACUAAAUUUUAAAUAUUUUAAAUCCACAUAAACUUGAUAUAUCCUCACCAGUAAUAAAUAUUACCA